This is a long non-coding RNA of Drosophila santomea, 775 nucleotides long. RefSeq lists it as uncharacterized. The transcript has 2 exons. NCBI's taxonomy places the organism in Eukaryota, Metazoa, Arthropoda, Insecta, Diptera, Drosophilidae. The record is from RefSeq and is a predicted model, not a curated record.
AAAAGAGGAGAGACAUCAGACCAAAUUAGACAAUAAAGUUAAAGGCCCAUUCCUUGUGGCGGAAGUGCUGGAUGGGGACCGUUAGGUCUUGAAAUCUUUAGUUAAUAAGCGAACAUAUAAGUAUUCGCAUGAAGCCUUGAGAAGUAUGCCGACAGAAGAGAUUCCCGGAGAGUUGGAUAUUUGUAAUGAGAACGCAUUGGAUGAUUCCAAUUAGAGUGAAAACGUUGAAAGAGACGUUACAGACAUAUUCGUGGAUUCGAACUAGAGAAGGUGUGGAAAGAGACGCCAAAUCGUUGAAAGAGGCGAUAAAUCGUUAAAAGAGACGAUAAAACGUUAAAAGAGACGUUAGAGAAAGUGUUGAAAGAGACGCUAUUGACGAUUGUGGUUCAGACACUAUACCUUUGGCAGUCCACAUUAUGGAGUUGGCAGUGCUAACAGGCACACGAGUUAAUGUGUUGGCUUGAUAGAUGUGUGGCAAAAGGCCGUUUUGUUUGGUGUCCUGAAGUACAGUGUCUGGUGUCAGAGUACAUUGCAACAUUGUAAUUUUUGGGAUCUCACUGUCCGACUGUUGAAAAUUGUAUUACAAAUUCAAGUAUAAAAAAAAAAAACAUGAUCCACAGCACUUCCGUCAGGAGUACUACAUAAUCUGCUAACUAAGAAAUGAUGGCCGUGUCAACGCUUUAUAUUAUAUGUCACUGCUUUAUAUUAUAUUUGUCAUGCUGAAGCAUUAUACCAUGUUAAUGUUAAUUUAAAUAAAUGAUAAAAUGUAAAGCAA